CCAGAAUACAAGAUGACUCAGGCUUGUUGGAAAAUAAAAAACCUGAUAUAGAAAAAGGGCCCCUAGAAAACCAGUGGCCAGAACAGACUAUCAUCACUGCAGAGCAUCUAGCUAAUUGUUUUGACUCACAACUUGUAAAAAUUAAAGCAGAAAUUACCACCUCCUCUACUCAUAUUAAAUGUGACCUUGUCAAGAUUGGCGAAAGGCUAAAAGCAAUGGAAGAGAAGACAGAUUACAUCUACUUCCAAAUGCAGAUCAGUACUGUAAGGUUGGAGAAACUUGAGGAAAAAAACAGAAAAUCUACUAAAAAAAAAAAUUGGAAACCUUGAGGAUAGGUCACGAAGAAAUAAUCUCAGAAUAAGAAGCAUCCCCGAAAACAUUACAGCAUCUCAGUUAGAAGACUAUUGUGAAGAUUCUUUUUUAAAUUCCUGGAAUUAUUCCCAAAUAAAGAAACCAAUUACAUUGAAAGAAGUCAC
Molecule: non-coding RNA, 476 nt
Organism: Pelobates cultripes (western spadefoot toad)
Lineage: Eukaryota; Metazoa; Chordata; Amphibia; Anura; Pelobatidae
Source: the annotation of a GenBank genome assembly